GAGUGGACGCUGGCGGUAGGCCUAACACAUGCAAGUCGAACGGCAGCACAGUAAGAGCUUGCUCUUACGGGUGGCGAGUGGCGGACGGGUGAGGAAUACAUCGGAAUCUACUUUUUCGUGGGGGAUAACGUAGGGAAACUUACGCUAAUACCGCAUACGACCUACGGGUGAAAGCAGGGGAUCUUCGGACCUUGCGCGAUUGAAUGAGCCGAUGUCGGAUUAGCUAGUUGGCGGGGUAAAGGCCCACCAAGGCGACGAUCCGUAGCUGGUCUGAGAGGAUGAUCAGCCACACUGGAACUGAGACACGGUCCAGACUCCUACGGGAGGCAGCAGUGGGGAAUAUUGGACAAUGGGCGCAAGCCUGAUCCAGCCAUACCGCGUGGGUGAAGAAGGCCUUCGGGUUGUAAAGCCCUUUUGUUGGGAAAGAAAAGCAGCAGGUUAAUACCCCGCUGUUCUGACGGUACCCAAAGAAUAAGCACCGGCUAACUUCGUG
Molecule: ribosomal RNA, 493 nt
Filed under: uncultured bacterium
Lineage: Bacteria
Description: partial 16S ribosomal RNA
Rfam family: Bacterial small subunit ribosomal RNA
Source: RNAcentral